This is a small nucleolar RNA of Cottoperca gobio, 91 nucleotides long. NCBI's taxonomy places the organism in Eukaryota, Metazoa, Chordata, Actinopteri, Perciformes, Bovichtidae. The record is from Ensembl.
UGUGAUGGAGGAAUAUGAAUGUCCAGUUCUAUGUCUUCGGUGCCAGAAAGGCAACCAUCUUCUGGUUCUAUCCUCAAUCACUGCCACAUUU